UACGUAGGGGGCUAGCGUUGUCCGGAAUCAUUGGGCGUAAAGAGCGUGUAGGCGGCCCGGUAAGUCCGCUGUGAAAGUCGGGGGCUCAACCCUCGAAUGCCGGUGGAUACUGUCGGGCUAGAGUGCGGAAGAGGCGAGUGGAAUUCCCGGUGUAGCGGUGAAAUGCGCAGAUAUCAGGAGGAACACCGAUGGCGAAGGCAGCUCGCUGGGACGGUACUGACGCUGAGGCGCGAAAGCGUGGGGAGCAAACAGG
Molecule: ribosomal RNA, 253 nt
Filed under: uncultured bacterium
Lineage: Bacteria
Description: partial 16S ribosomal RNA
Rfam family: Bacterial small subunit ribosomal RNA
Source: RNAcentral